RNAcentral lists this ribosomal RNA (34 nucleotides) under Microsporum canis. RNAcentral's name for it is "partial 28S ribosomal RNA". The record is from RNAcentral. Lineage: Eukaryota; Fungi; Ascomycota; Eurotiomycetes; Onygenales; Arthrodermataceae.
CGCUGAACUUAAGCAUAUCAAUAAGCCGGAGGAA